AGUGAACGCUGGCGGUAUGCCUAAUACAUGCAAGUCGAACGGACACACAGUAAGAUUUCGCCUUUACCGUUGGCGACGGGCGGGUGAGUGACACGUAGAUCGCCUUCUUCUUUUUCUGGGGUGACUUCGUAAGACAACUUACACUACCACCUCAUACAUUCAACCGGUUAAAUCAGUGGUUAUUCGGAGUUUUCCUGUCUCAAUUAGCUGAUGCCGGAUUAGCUAGUUGGCUAGGUAAAGGCCCACCAAGGCGACGAUCCGUAGCUGAGCUGAGAGGAUGAUCAGCCACACUGGAACUGAGACACGGUCCAGACUCCUACGGGAGGCAGCAGUGGGGAAUCUUCGACAAUGGGCGAAAGCCUGACGCAGCAAUGCCGCGUGAGUGAUGAAGGCCUUCGGGUUGUAAAACUCUUUUAUUAGGAAAGAACAACAGCAUAAGUAUCCACGGAUGUUUUGACGGUACCCAAAGAGUAAGCACCGGCUAACUUCGUG
RNAcentral lists this ribosomal RNA (492 nucleotides) under uncultured bacterium. Its description in RNAcentral is "partial 16S ribosomal RNA". It matches the Rfam family "Bacterial small subunit ribosomal RNA", at positions 29 to 507 of the family's 1533-position model. The record is from RNAcentral.